CAUGUAAUUCACGUGUCGAUCCCGUGUAAUUCACAUGUCGAUUCCCUGCUGAUUGGGCCUCCUUCCUGUGUUAAUCCCAUGUCGAUCACAUGUUGAUCACAUGUAAUUAGCAUGUUGAUUGUGCCUUGACCCCGUCCCCGUCCCGUGUCGAUCCUGUGUCGAUCCCAUGUUCAUUCCGUGUAAUUCACAUGUCGAUUUCCUGCUGAUUGGGCCUCCUCACUGUGUUAAUCCCAUGUUGAUCACAUGUAAUUAACAUGUUGAUUGUGCCUUGACCCCGUCCCCAUCCCGGGUUGAUCCCAUGUUCAUCCCGUGUCCAUCCCGUGUAGUUCACGUGUCGAUUCCCUGCUGAUUGGGCCUGCAUCCCGUGUUCAUCCCGUGUUAACCGCAUGUUGAUCCCGUGUCGAUCGCCUGUAAUUCGCAUGUAAUUGGCGUGUGGAUGCUCCCGGGGGGGAGGGGGGGUCCCUCUCGGUCCCGUCUCCGUCCCGUGUCAAUACAUGUCGAUCCCAUGUUCAUCCCGUGUCGGCUGCCUGGUCUUUCUUUCCGCGUCCGUCUCACGUCACUCGCGUGUCCGUCCCGUGUCCUUCACGUGUCGCCCCCUUCCCCCCCCUCCCUUGGUGCUGCCUUUGUCCUGUGUCCCUCCCAUGUAGAUCCCGUGUCCCUCCCGUGUCCAUCCCAUGUCCCAUGUAGAUCCCGUGUCCAUCCCAUGUCCCUCCCGUGUCCCUCCCAUGUCCAUCCCAUGUCCCUCCCAUGUCCAUCCUGUGUCCAUCCCGUGUCCUAUGUCCAUCCCGUGUCCCAUGUAGAUCCCAUGUCCCUCCCAUGUCCAUCCCGUGUCCAUCCCGUGUCCAUCCCAUGUCCUAUGUCCAUCCCGUGUCCCAUGUAGAUCCCAUGUGCCUCCCAUGUCCCUCCUGUGUCCCUCCUGUGUCCAUCGUAGAUCCCAUGUAAAUCCCAUGUAGAUCCCAUGUCCUUCCCGUGUCCCUCCCGUGUCCAUCCCAUGUCCUUCCCAUGUCCCAUGUAGAUCCCGUGUCCAUCCCAUGUUGCGUGUAGAUCCCAUGUCCUUUCCAUGUCCAUCCCAUGUCCUUCCUGUGGCCUUCCCAUGUAGAUCCCGUGUCCAUCCCAUGUAAAUCCCAUGUAGAUCCCAUGUCC
This 1143-nucleotide long non-coding RNA is filed under the name Calidris pugnax (ruff). Its description in RNAcentral is "lncRNA (ENSCPUG00000008988.1)". Lineage: Eukaryota; Metazoa; Chordata; Aves; Charadriiformes; Scolopacidae. The record is from RNAcentral.